This is a long non-coding RNA of Melanotaenia boesemani (Boeseman's rainbowfish), 131 nucleotides long. RefSeq lists it as uncharacterized. Lineage: Eukaryota; Metazoa; Chordata; Actinopteri; Atheriniformes; Melanotaeniidae. The record is from RefSeq and is a predicted model, not a curated record. The transcript is spliced from 4 exons.
CUUAAUGGACUGACAAAUGAUUUGGGAAGGUGUCUAAACUACGGUGGCCCAGAGGUGUCACAGCAAAUAAAAGCCGCAACACAACAAAAUAAGUCACAACACUACAAAAUAAACCACAACACAACACAAUA